CAGGAUGAACGCUAGCUACAGGCUUAACACAUGCAAGUCCUGGGGCAUCAGGAAGAAAGCUUGCUUUCUUUGCUGGCGACCGGCGCACAGGUGAGUAACACGUAUCCAACCUGCCCUUUACUCGGGGAUAGCCUUUCGAAAGAAAGAUUAAUACCCGAUAGCAUAAUGAUUCCGCAUGGUUUCAUUAUUAAAGGAUUCCGGUAAAGGAUGGGGAUGCGUUCCAUUAGGUUGUUGGUGAGGUAACGGCCCACCAAGCCUUCGAUGGAUAGGGGUUCUGAGAGGAAGGUCCCCCACAUUGGAACUGAGACACGGUCCAAACUCCUACGGGAGGCACCAGUGAGGAAUAUUGGUCAAUGGGCGCUAGCCUGAACCACCCAAGUAGCGUGAAGGAUGAAGGCUCUAUGGGUCGUAAACUUCUUUUAUAUAAGAAUAAAGUGCAGUAUGUAUACUGUUUUGUAUGUAUUAUAUGAAUAAGGAUCGGCUAACUCCGUGCCAGCAGCCGCGGUAAUACGGAGGAUCCGAGCGUUAUCCGGAUUUAUUGGGUUUAAAGGUAGCGUACGUGGACUGGUAAGUCAGUUGUGAAAGUUUGCGGCUCAACCGUAAAAUUGCAGUUGAUACUGUCAGUCUUGAGUACAGUAGAGGUGGGCGGAAUUCGUGGUGUAGCGGUGAAAUGCUUAGAUAUCACGAAGAACUCCGAUUGCGAAGGCAGCUCACUGGACUGCAACUGACACUGAUGCUCGAAAGUGUGGGUAUCAAACAGGAUUAGAUACCCUGGUAGUCCACACAGUAAACGAUGAAUACUCGCUGUUUGCGAUAUACAGUAAGCGGCCAAGCGAAAGCAUUAAGUAUUCCACCUGGGGAGUACGCCGGCAACGGUGAAACUCAAAGGAAUUGACGGGGGCCCGCACAAGCGGAGGAACAUGUGGUUUAAUUCGAUGAUACGCGAGGAACCUUACCCGGGCUUAAAUUGCAGUGGAAUGAUGUGGAAACAUGUCAGUGAGCAAUCACCGCUGUGAAGGUGCUGCAUGGUUGUCGUCAGCUCGUGCCGUGAGGUGUCGGUUUAAGUGCCAUAACGAGCGCAACCCUUAUCUUUAGUUACUAACAGGUUAUGCUGAGGACUCUAGAGAGACUGCCGUCGUAAGAUGUGAGGAAGGUGGGGAUGACGUCAAAUCAGCACGGCCCUUACGUCCGGGGCUACACACGUGUUACAAUGGGGGGUACAGAAGGCAGCUAGCGGGUGACUGUAUGCUAAUCCCAAAAUCCUCUCUCAGUUCGGAUCGAAGUCUGCAACCCGACUUCGUGAAGCUGGAUUCGCUAGUAAUCGCGCAUCAGCCACGGCGCGGUGAAUACGUUCCCGGGCCUUGUACACACCGCCCGUCAAGCCAUGGGAGCCGGGGGUACCUGAAGUACGUAACCGCAAGGAUCGUCCUAGGGUA
This 1436-nucleotide ribosomal RNA is filed under the name uncultured organism. RNAcentral's name for it is "16S ribosomal RNA". It matches the Rfam family "Bacterial small subunit ribosomal RNA". The record is from RNAcentral.